UUUGUUCAACGGCCGCGGUAUCCUAACCGUGCGAAGGUAGCGUAAUCACUUGUCUUUUAAAUGGGGACUUGUAUGAAUGGCAUCACGAGGGUUAUACUGUCUCCUUUUUCUAAUCAGUGAAACUAAUCUUCCCGUGAAGAAGCGGGAAUAAACAUAUAAGACGAGAAGACCCUAUGGAGCUUUAAACUCAAUAACAAAUACUAACCUUACAUUAACCUUCAGAAUAUUAACCUUAAUUUUAGUAUUAUGAUUAUUAGUUUUAGGUUGGGGUGACCGCGGAGUAAAAAUUAACCUCCACAUUGAACGGGACCUAUCCCUGAGCCAAGAACUACAGCUCAAAGCACCAACAAAUUGACAUUAAUUGACCCAAUAUUUUGAUCAACGAACCAAGUUACCCUAGGGAUAACAGCGCAAUCCACUUCAAGAGCUCCUAUCGACAAGUGGGUUUACGACCUCGAUGUUGGAUCAGGGUCUCCCAGUGGUGCAGCCGCUACUAAAGGUUCGUUUGUUCAACGAUUAAAACCCU
RNAcentral lists this ribosomal RNA (526 nucleotides) under Osteocephalus taurinus (Manaus slender-legged treefrog). RNAcentral's name for it is "partial 16S ribosomal RNA". It matches the Rfam family "Bacterial large subunit ribosomal RNA", at positions 1919 to 2597 of the family's 2925-position model. The record is from RNAcentral. Lineage: Eukaryota; Metazoa; Chordata; Amphibia; Anura; Hylidae.